CNNNNNNNANNNCCUUUUUGCUUAAGUAGCACGUGGACACCUACCCUAAGGAGGGGGAUAACCCCGGGAAACUGGGGAUAAUACCCCAUAGACUAGAGAAGCUGGAAUGCUCUCAAGUCCAAAGGUCCGCCGCUUCAGGAUGAGUCUGCGGCCGAUUAGGUAGUUGUUGGGGUAACGGCCCAACAAGCCUGUCAUCGGUACGGGUUGUGGGAGCAAGAGCCCGGAAAUGGAUUCUGAAACACAAAUCCAGGCCCUACGGGGCGCAGCAGGCGCGAAAACUUUACCAUGCGGGCAACCGUGAUAAGGAAACCCCGAGUGCCAGCACAGGCUGGCUGUCCUCCAGUGUAUAUAACUGGUGAAAAAAGGGCCGGGCAAGACCGGUGCCAGCCGCCGCGGUAAUACCGG
This 405-nucleotide ribosomal RNA is filed under the name uncultured Methanomicrobiales archaeon. RNAcentral describes it as "partial 16S ribosomal RNA". It matches the Rfam family "Archaeal small subunit ribosomal RNA", at positions 69 to 479 of the family's 1478-position model. Lineage: Archaea; Methanobacteriati; Methanobacteriota; Methanomicrobia; Methanomicrobiales. The record is from RNAcentral.